UAUCAAUAUUAAUUUGAUAUAAUUUCUCAUUGUAGCUGUUUAUCAUUCAUUUUUUUGUUAUCUAUUGACUAUACCGUUGGAUUGUGUAAAAGCUGGAAGAUAUAUAACAUAUAUAAUUUCUAUGUUAAUUGUAUUUCCGUGUAUUGGCAGGUAUUCUUUUUGGUAGUAAAAUGUUGUUUAAAAUGAAGUUAUGAAUGGACAAAUAUAGUAAUAGAGUAUUUUAAAAUGUUUCUUCAGGAUGUUGUGUUCUGGUUUGCGAUCUUUAACAUUCAGUGGUUAUCCCACACCAAACGUUCUUCCUUUGAGUUGCAGCAUCUUGCAUUUUAAACAAAAGAACCUGUUGUUCUAUGUAUUUUUUGUUAUUGACAUAACAAACUGUUCUUCCUAUCAUUCCCACUUGUUGCAUUUUAACUUUAAUUUUUUUAUUCUAUGGUUUUUUUAUAUGCUUUUAUAUUACUACCUUUCAAGUUUGUCCACAUUUUAAAGACAUUAUCGUUCCUGAAAUGCCAGCCUUUUAUUUUGUAGGUAAUUUUUGAGGAUUGAUGUUUCUUCUAGAGACAUGCAAUGAAUUUUUUUGUCAGUUAGUUCGUUAGUGCGACUUUCUUAUGUUUGUUGUGUCGUACACUUGCACAUUCAGUAGUUCUGCUUCGGUUCAACGUAUUAUUUUGCACACUGACCAUCUGGCUUAUUUCAGUCUUUAUUCCAAUUGUUAUUAUUUCUGAUGGUUCUAAUUGUUUAAUUAUGUCUCAACUUUUGAGUCUUGAUAUUAUUUUAUUAAUUGUUUUAACUGUUUUUUUUUUCCCCCAGGUUCGCCUCAAAUUUCACUUUUGUUUUUCUGACAAAUUUGAUCUAAUUUCAAUCAAAACAAGUCUGUAUAAUAUCAAUUCUUUUAUUUGAGUGCUGCGGAUUGUAGCUUUUACUUGGAUAUACUUCCGACCCGCA
Molecule: long non-coding RNA, 942 nt
Filed under: Prunus dulcis (almond)
Lineage: Eukaryota; Viridiplantae; Streptophyta; Magnoliopsida; Rosales; Rosaceae
Description: sRNA ncRNA
Source: RNAcentral